This 571-nucleotide long non-coding RNA is filed under the name Nicotiana benthamiana. RNAcentral describes it as "long non-coding RNA (NBEN_LNC023903)". Lineage: Eukaryota; Viridiplantae; Streptophyta; Magnoliopsida; Solanales; Solanaceae. The record is from RNAcentral.
GGGAAUCACUUGGAGGUAAUAUUUUUGAUUUUAUAACUCUUUUUAUGUGAUUAAAUACCUAAUUAGUGGUGAAUUUUUUUGGAAAAAUGGGUAAUUAGGGCUUGAGUUUAAGAGAGCUAAAAAGGGGGUUUUGAGUGGUUAAUUGAACUACAAUUUUAGUGUUCUUGUUAUGCAUAGAGUCGUGAGAGUAUGAGGAUUCCAAAAAUGUAAAUUUCACCCGAUUCCGAGACGUGGGCCUGAGGGGCGUUUUGGUCAUUUUACCUGAUUUUGCGCAUUAGCUUAGAAUUUAAUUGUAAAAUCAGUUACUUCAGGUAUUAUUACAACAUGUAAUUAAGUUGAAUCGAUUUGGACCAUUUUGAGUUGAAUAUUCGUAGAAAAAACGUGUGCUUCGGGUUGACUUGCGCUUGUUCGAGGUAAGUGGCUUGUCUAACCUUGCGUGGGGGACUUUCCCCUUAGGAUUUGAUAUAUGUGUUUAAAUGCCUUGUACGUAAGGUGACGAGUGCAUACUUGUGAAAAAUAUUUGAAAUCUGGCUUUUCAUUAAGUACUACUAGUAUGGAUACUUCCCUGUUU